GUCUUUGCCCUUUGUUAUAUAUAGUUGUACUCAAGGAUAUAUAGUCACCAUUAAAUCAGAUAUUGGGUUUUUUAUAUUAUUUUGGUUUCUGUUUGAUGCUUUUUACAUGUAUCUUUCCAUAUUAUUUUGGUUUCUGUUUGAUGCUUUUUACUUAAUUAAUUAGCACACAGUGAAUUUUAUCUACUCUCUCCGUCUCUAAUUAUUUGACGUUUUUGAGGUAGACACAAGAAUUAAGAUAAUGAUUGAAAAGCAUUAAAUAUAGUACUCAAUUGUCUAUAAUACCCUCAAAUCUUUUGUUAGAAUAAGGAGAGAG
Molecule: long non-coding RNA, 313 nt
Filed under: Panax ginseng (ginseng)
Lineage: Eukaryota; Viridiplantae; Streptophyta; Magnoliopsida; Apiales; Araliaceae
Description: long non-coding RNA (PGIN_LNC015811)
Source: RNAcentral